Molecule: ribosomal RNA, 497 nt
Filed under: uncultured bacterium
Lineage: Bacteria
Description: partial 16S ribosomal RNA
Rfam family: Bacterial small subunit ribosomal RNA
Source: RNAcentral
GACGAACGCUGGCGGCGUGCCUAAUACAUGCAAGUUGAGCGCUGAAGGUUGGUACUUGUACCGACUGGAUGAGCAGCGAACGGGUGAGUAACGCGUGGGUAAUCUGCCUUUGAGCGGGGGACAACAUUUGGAAACGAAUGCUAAUACCGCAUAAAAACUUUAAACACAAGUUUUAAGUUUGAAAGAUGCAAUUGCAUCACUCAAAGAUGAUCCCGCGUUGUAUUAGCUAGUUGGUGAGGUAAAGGCUCACCAAGGCGAUGAUACAUAGCCGACCUGAGAGGGUGAUCGGCCACAUUGGGACUGAGACACGGCCCAAACGCCUACGGGAGGCAGCAGUAGGGAAUCUUCGGCAAUGGACGAAAGUCUGACCGAGCAACGCCGCGUGAGUGAAGAAGGUUGUCGGAUCGUAAAACUCUGUUGGUAGAGAAGAACGUUGGUGAGAGUGGAAAGCUCAUCAAGUGACGGUAACUACCCAGAAAGGGACGGCUAACUACGUG